RNAcentral lists this ribosomal RNA (392 nucleotides) under uncultured bacterium. Its description in RNAcentral is "bacterial SSU rRNA". It matches the Rfam family "Bacterial small subunit ribosomal RNA", at positions 975 to 1368 of the family's 1533-position model. The record is from RNAcentral.
CAACUCUUGACAUGGCCGGUUUACCUGCAGAGAUGCAGGGUCCCGCAAGGGGCCGGUUACAGGUGCUGCAUGGCUGUCGUCAGCUCGUGUCGUGAGAUGUUGGGUUAAGUCCCGCAACGAGCGCAACCCUUGUCCGUAGUUGCCAUCAGGUUGGGCUGGGCACUCUACGGGGACUGCCGGUGACAAGCCGGAGGAAGGUGGGGAUGACGUCAAGUCCUCAUGGCCCUUACGAGUUGGGCUACACACGUGCUACAAUGGUGGUGACAGAGGGCAGCGAGGUCGCGAGGCCGAGCAAAUCCCUAAAAGCCAUCUCAGUUCGGAUUGCACUCUGCAACUCGGGUGCAUGAAGGUGGAAUCGCUAGUAAUCGCGGAUCAGCACGCCGCGGUGAAUA